Molecule: long non-coding RNA, 1336 nt
Organism: Polistes dominula (European paper wasp)
Lineage: Eukaryota; Metazoa; Arthropoda; Insecta; Hymenoptera; Vespidae
Source: RefSeq, a predicted model, not a curated record
ACUUAUUUAACUCUAAUCACAAGUGUGUGCAACAGAAAAAACAAAGAGAUUUUCCUUUAAUAAUCCAAAAUUGGAUUCUAUCUGAUUAUAAAAAAAAGCAAAAUUUUAUAUUUACAUAAAUACUAUUGUCAAAAAUGAACCGUUAGAUAGUGCUUGUUAUUCCAACAUUAUAUGGAAUUAAUUUAAUUUUCAAAUGUAAUCCUAAAGGAUUAAAAGAUAACAAAUCAAAGAACGAGAAAUGGAAUUUUAAGAAUAAUUAUAUAGAAGAGGAAUUUUGUAAAGCACGUUGAUAUUUUCACAGAUAUAUAUGGAAAACUGUUAAGCUAAUUAACAGCUAUCUCUUAAAUGUACGUUAAAUACUGAGAUUGAAAAAUUGAGGUCAUAAAUAAGUUUCUGUAAAAAAACAUAAAUACAGGAAAUAAUGUAUAAAUGCUACAGUAAUUAUUAUAUUGAAUACUGUAAACAUAGGCAAUACUGUGUCAAUAUCAAGUUCACAAGCAAAAGAAGCAUAACUGGAACCUAUUAAAUGUUAAUUUAACUUUAAAAAUGAAAGUACCUAUUCUUAUCUUCACAGUCACUGUGAUAAAUUUCUAGUACAAUAAAAAAAUCACACUCUACUGUAAAAUAUAUUAUUAAAAAAUACUGGAAAACAAGGACUUUUGAUUACUGACGAGGUAGUGGUCAUCUAUCAAAAUUGGAAAUUUUACGUAAGUAAAUUUUAAGAACUGAACUAAAGAUGAGUGUUCAAAAAUUGGCUUAUAUGAAUGAAAUAGAUUAUGGUAUCGAGAUUAUGCUUAAAACUGUUCAAAUAACCAUUAGAAAAGUAGGUUAUAAUGAUUGAAACCUAAUACUUAAAUGCAAAUUAAACAUUUGUAUCCAACUUUUAAGCAUAGUAGUGGACGCAUAAAGUUGUACAUAAGUGUUUUUGUUUGAAAAUGUAUGCAUCUGGAGUAGACAACUCUUGUAAUUUAUUAAUUAUAUUAUAAUCCAAUUUUUUUUAGACAAUUUUUAUUUAGACAAGAAUUUUAAAAGAAAAUAUGCAAAAUAGUGCUCAAAAAUUAAACUUGGAGUCAGGAUUUAUAUCCUAACAAGGCAAUGAUCUUAAGUACACAGCUAAAAGAGUUAAAAGGCAAAGGUCUACAAAUCCUUAACAAAAUAGGAAAUUAAUGCAAUUAAAAAGAAAUAUAAUUAUCUCCUUAUUUCGAGUCAGAGUCUAAUAAAUUAUUAAAAAUGAAUGAUACGAAAACUUAUAUGACCCACUGUACAUGUACAUACGGUAUAUAUUAUUUUUCACGAUUUAAGAUACGAUUUUUAUAUCAGAAAAAAUAAUAUAAAG